RNAcentral lists this ribosomal RNA (394 nucleotides) under uncultured bacterium. RNAcentral describes it as "bacterial SSU rRNA". It matches the Rfam family "Bacterial small subunit ribosomal RNA", at positions 29 to 416 of the family's 1533-position model. The record is from RNAcentral.
AACGAACGCUGGCGGCGUGGUUUAGGCAUGCAAGUCGAGCGAGAAAGUCCUUCGGGACGAGUACAGCGGCGAAAGGGUGAGUAAUAUAUAGGUAACCUACCUCUUGGACUCGGAUAAUUCCUGGAAACGGGUUGUAAUACGAGAUCGUCCUAUUGGGUCGCAUGGCCCGACUGGUAAAUGGUAGCUCUGCUUCUGCCGAGAGAGGGGCCUAUAUCCUAUUAGCUAGUUGGUGAGGUAAUGGCUCACCAAGGCUUUGAUGGGUAGCCGGACUGAGAGGUUGGCCGGUCACACUGGGACUGAGACACUGCCCAGACUCCUACGGGAGGCUGCAGUCGAGAAUCUUCCGCAAUGGGCGAAAGCCUGACGGGGCGACGCCGCGUGAACGAAGAAGGCC